This 253-nucleotide ribosomal RNA is filed under the name uncultured bacterium. RNAcentral describes it as "partial 16S ribosomal RNA". It matches the Rfam family "Bacterial small subunit ribosomal RNA", at positions 524 to 776 of the family's 1533-position model. The record is from RNAcentral.
UACGUAGGUGGCAAGCGUUGUCCGGAUUUACUGGGCGUAAAGGAUGCGUAGGCGGACUUUUAAGUGAGAUGUGAAAUCCCUAAGCUUAACUUAGGUGCUGCAUUACAAACUGGAAGUCUAGAGUGCGGGAGAGGAGAGUGGAAUUCCUAGUGUAGCGGUGAAAUGCGUAGAGAUUAGGAAGAACACCAGUGGCGAAGGCGACUCUCUGGACCGUAACUGACGCUGAGGCAUGAAAGCGUGGGUAGCAAACAGG